GAGAAUACGAAGAUAUCUGUUUCGUGUCAAGCGGUAAAUUUCCUACCAAAAGACACAACAUGCCGUCACGCAAAAGGAGAAGACCAGACAGCAGGCAGUGUAGCCUGAGAAGCAGUGAUCCAUGUGUACCUCCCAAUUUGAUGGCAGACAAACCUAUGUUCCAACAAGCCCCAGCAGUAGCAGCAUCUUCAUGUCCCAGCGGCCUCUCCAUGAAGAGUGAUCAUUCCAUGGUCCAGCCUGAACAUUUCAGAGGAGAAGA
Monopterus albus (swamp eel) is the source of this 259-nucleotide long non-coding RNA. RefSeq lists it as uncharacterized. The record is from RefSeq and is a predicted model, not a curated record. The transcript is spliced from 3 exons. NCBI's taxonomy places the organism in Eukaryota, Metazoa, Chordata, Actinopteri, Synbranchiformes, Synbranchidae.